Molecule: unclassified non-coding RNA, 263 nt
Filed under: uncultured fungus
Lineage: Eukaryota; Fungi
Description: sequence contains ITS1
Source: RNAcentral
UUAAGUGUCAUUCGACUGCGCUCUCAGACGUUUUAAAAUGCUACAUUGCAUAAAGGGUUUUCAAAUGUGCCGCCGGCAGGCUGACCCUCCCCCAGCCGUGAGGCGAAAGGGAGGCGCUGCCGAAGCAACAAGGGUUUUCACAGAGGGUUCACCGUUCGGCGCCUCCCGGGAAACCGGGGGACGCCUUGUGGCUUACGGGUUUUUAGACGGCCCCCGGGGCCCUUCAUUUUUUAAUGAUCCUUCCGCAGGUUCACCUACGGAAA